AACGAACGCUGGCGGCACGUUUUAAGCAUGCAAGUCGAACGGCAGUGGGGGCAACCCCAUGAGAGUGGCGAACGGGUGAGUAACACGUAGGUGAUCUGCCUUAGGGUUGGGGAUAGCUUGUGGAAACACAGGGUAAUACCGAAUAAGCUGACGGGGCUUUGGCCAAGUUAGUAAAGGUGCUACGGCACCGCCUUGAGAGGAGCCUGCGGCUGAUUAGCUAGUUGGUGGGGUAAAGGCCUACCAAGGCGACGAUCAGUAGCCGGCCUGAGAGGGUGUACGGCCACACUGGAACUGAGACACGGUCCAGACUCCUACGGGAGGCAGCAGCUAAGAAUCUUCCGCAAUGGGCGAAAGCCUGACGGAGCGAUGCCGCGUGAUCGAUGAAGGUCGAGAGAUUGUAAAGAUCUUUUCCAACUGAGGAAUAAGGAUCGGAGGGAAUGCCGGUCUGAUGACGUUAAGUUGGGAAUAAGCCCCGGCUAAUUACGUGCCAGCCGCCGCUGUAA
RNAcentral lists this ribosomal RNA (503 nucleotides) under uncultured bacterium. Its description in RNAcentral is "partial 16S ribosomal RNA". It matches the Rfam family "Bacterial small subunit ribosomal RNA", at positions 29 to 523 of the family's 1533-position model. The record is from RNAcentral.